UACGUAGGGGGCAAGCGUUAUCCGGAUUUAUUGGGCGUAAAGAGCUCGUAGGCGGCCGUUCGCGUCGGAUGUGAAAGCUCAGGGCUCAACUCUGAGACGCCAUUCGAUACGGGACGGCUAGAGGUAGGUAGGGGAGAGUGGAAUUCCUGGUGUAGCGGUGAAAUGCGCAGAUAUCAGGAGGAACACCGGUGGCGAAGGCGGCUCUCUGGGCCUGCACUGACGCUCAUGCACGAAAGCGUGGGGAGCAAACAGG
This 253-nucleotide ribosomal RNA is filed under the name uncultured bacterium. RNAcentral describes it as "partial 16S ribosomal RNA". It matches the Rfam family "Bacterial small subunit ribosomal RNA", at positions 524 to 776 of the family's 1533-position model. The record is from RNAcentral.